AUGGAACACGUGGUCCUGCCCCGGCGUGUCCACCAGCUCGGCCUCGCCGCGCCACCCGCUCGCGAGCAGCGCCGCGUAGUACGCCCGCCCCUUCACCGCCAGGAAGUCGUCGCCCGCCACGGCCAGCAUCGCCCUCUUGCACGGCAGCGCCGCGAGCAGCGGCGCCGCCUCGGCGCACGUCGGGCAGAACCUCGGGUCGUCGACCUCGGCGUCGGGGCGCGCGCACAUGAACCGCCACUCGCGGCGGAUCCUGACCUCCAGAGCGGGCGUCAUGGCGUUGGUCGGGUCCCAGAAGUAGGGGUGCACCAGCAGCACGCCGACGAUGGCCGCGCACGGGCGCGGGAGCCCCUCGGCGGCGGCGCGCAGGGCGACGUUGUGCGCGAUGUUGGCGCCCGCGCUGUCGCCGGCGAGGAACACGCGGGACGCGUCCCCGUGCGCCGCGAGCCACGGCUCGGGGCAUCCCGGGGCGGUGCCGGCGACCGCCCACGCGAGGGCCGCCCAGGAGUCGUCGUAGGCCGCGGGGAGCGGGUGCUCCGGCACGCGGCGGUACUCCACGGACACCGCGAGGACGCCCGCGUGGGCGGCGAGCGCGUUCAGGUAGCGGUGGUACGUCGGGGAGGCCGCCGUCUCGACCAUGAACCCGCCGCCGUGGAAGUACACGAGGACGGGCAGCUUCUUGCCUUCGCCCCCGGAUGCCGCAGCCGCUGGCGGAAGGUAGAGGCGGACGGAGACGCCGGUGGCCGGGUCGAUGACGACGUCCUUGGACGCCACGCCCGUGGGCGCGUCGAAGGACGCCGGCACGGUGUCGGUGCCGAGCAGGCGCUCGACGCGGCCGCUCUUGUACACGCGGAUGAACGGGAGCAGCUCGGUCUCAACCACGUCGGCGGCGGCGCUGGAAGCCAUUCCGGCGGCGGGCGCGCUCUGCGAGGUCGAGCUUGUGACCUGGAGCGCGGUGCUGGCGCAGGACAAGUGAAGCAGAACAAGCAGGGGACGUGCCAUUUUAAACCGAACAAUUUCGAUAUUUUGUAUUCGAGCUGGUAG
This 1041-nucleotide ribosomal RNA is filed under the name Triticum aestivum (bread wheat). RNAcentral describes it as "partial small subunit ribosomal RNA". The record is from RNAcentral. Lineage: Eukaryota; Viridiplantae; Streptophyta; Magnoliopsida; Poales; Poaceae.